RNAcentral lists this ribosomal RNA (253 nucleotides) under uncultured bacterium. Its description in RNAcentral is "partial 16S ribosomal RNA". It matches the Rfam family "Bacterial small subunit ribosomal RNA", at positions 524 to 776 of the family's 1533-position model. The record is from RNAcentral.
UACGUAGGGACCGAGCGUUGUCCGGAUUCAUUGGGCGUAAAGAGCUCGUAGGCGGCCACUCAAGUCGAAUGUGAAACCUCGAGGCUCAACCUCGAGCCUGCAUUCGAUACUGGGCGGCUAGAGUCUGGUAGGGGGAUCUGGAAUUCCUGGUGUAGCGGUGGAAUGCGCAGAUAUCAGGAGGAACACCGGUGGCGAAGGCGGUUUCCUGGCCGAGUACUGACGCUGAGGCACGAAAGCGUGGGGAGCGAACGGG